ACGGGAGGCAGCAGUGAGGAAUAUUGGUCAAUGGGCGGAAGCCUGAACCAGCCAAGUCGCGUGAAGGAUGAAGGUAUUAUGUAUUGUAAACUUCUUUAGCAGCAGAGUAAUAAGGGAGUCGUGACUCCUGAUGCAAGUAUGCUGAAAAUAAGGAUCGGCUAACUCCGUGCCAGCAGCCGCGGUAAUACGGAGGAUCCGAGCGUUAUCCGGAUUUAUUGGGUUUAAAGGGUGCGCAGGCGGCUUUUUAAGUCAGCGGUUAAAUCGUGAGGCUCAACCUCAUCUCGCCGUUGAUACUGGAGAGCUUGAUUGCGGUCGAGGUUGGCGGAAUUCGUCGUGUAGCGGUGAAAUGCAUAGAUAUGACGAAGAAUACCGAUUGCGUAGGCAGCUGACCAGACCGUAAAUGACGCUCAUGCACGAAAGUGCGGGGAUCGAACAGGAUUAGAUACCCUGGU
Molecule: ribosomal RNA, 452 nt
Filed under: uncultured Parabacteroides sp.
Lineage: Bacteria; Pseudomonadati; Bacteroidota; Bacteroidia; Bacteroidales; Tannerellaceae
Description: partial 16S ribosomal RNA
Rfam family: Bacterial small subunit ribosomal RNA
Source: RNAcentral